GUUUCAGAUGAACCCUUGAUGGGUUGAAGUAGUCCUGUGCGUCGGUUACGAAGACGAUCUCGGAGCGUUUCAGAUGAACCCUUGAUGGGUUGAAGUGUUCGCGGGGAUGCGCCAAGACGCCAUCCCGCUGGUUUCAGAUGAACCCUUGUUGGGUUGAAGUGAUAGUCAUGGAUAACAUAAGGCAA
This 185-nucleotide unclassified non-coding RNA is filed under the name Haloquadratum walsbyi DSM 16790. Lineage: Archaea; Methanobacteriati; Methanobacteriota; Halobacteria; Halobacteriales; Haloferacaceae. The record is from RNAcentral.